Molecule: ribosomal RNA, 468 nt
Filed under: uncultured bacterium
Lineage: Bacteria
Description: partial 16S ribosomal RNA
Rfam family: Bacterial small subunit ribosomal RNA
Source: RNAcentral
GACGAACGCUGGCGGCGUGCUUAACACAUGCAAGUCGAACGGAAAGGCCCUGCUUUUGUGGGAUGCUCGAGUGGCGAACGGGUGAGUAACACGUGAGUAACCUGCCCUUGACUUUGGGAUAACUUCAGGAAACUGGGGCUAAUACCGGAUAGGAGCUCCUGCUGCAUGGUGUGGGUUGGAAAGUUUCGGUGGGUGGGGAUGGACUCGCGGCUUAUCAGCUUGUUGGUGGGGUAGUGGCUUACCAAGGCGUUGACGGGUAGCCGGCCUGAGAGGGUGACCGGCCACAUGGGGACUGAGAUACGGGCGAGACUCGUACGGGAGGCAGCGGUGGGGAAUAUUGCACAAUGGGGGGAAGCCUGAUGCAGCAACGCGGCGUGCGGGAUGACGGCCUUCGGGUUGAAAACCGCUUUCGCCUGUGACGAAGCGUGAGUGACGGUAAUGGGUAAAGAAGCACCGGCUAACUACGUG